Dalotia coriaria is the source of this 1185-nucleotide long non-coding RNA. RefSeq lists it as uncharacterized. The record is from RefSeq and is a predicted model, not a curated record. The transcript has 2 exons. Lineage: Eukaryota; Metazoa; Arthropoda; Insecta; Coleoptera; Staphylinidae.
UCGGGAUAACAAGGUGAUUCUUUAAUUAGUGAUUGCUUAUAAUUUCUUACAAAAGUAAAUAUUUGUGGGGUGUGCAAAAAGAAAUGUAAAAAACCAUUUAAGAGGAAAACAGUUACAUCAUAUUUGAAGGAAUCAUGCACCAGAAAGUACAUGCAAGUAACCCGAAUUUUGUAUUAUGAGUGUAGUAUAUUUUAUACUAUAAUAAUCCUGAGGGUUCCUGGGCAUAGUCUGAAAAGAGCGUUUCGGCCAAAUCACAAUACGUUUGCAACCAUGAUUUGACAUCAUAUAUUGUUAUGUAUGAUCAAAUGAAGAAGUGCUUUGUGAAAGGAGUUUUUUCAGUACUUAACUACAAUGAGUUGUAUCUACCAAUAACUCUAACUUGCUAUGAUGAUCCAAUGAAUUAAACAUAUUGCAUAGCUAUUGAAAGUUUAUUCCUGGUCUUGCCCUGGGAAUGACGAUGAUUUGUAUGGCAAAAGAUGGUGCAAUUUUGGAAAUACCACUUGGAAAUAUUAAAUGUGAUUACUGUGCAACCAAUUAUUCUGAGAAUCGUUUACAGGCAAAUAGUUAAAGGAAAGAUUUCCAAAGUUUAUCAUCACUUUAGGGGACUUUCAUUGCAAGAAAUGUGAAAAUGAAUUGCCACAGCAUUCGUUUCACCAGAUCUUUCUUUUUCUUAUGAAAUGGCUUGGUUGUGCUGAGUUUUACGAAAACAGCGAUACCAGAAUACUCUUGAUGGCCAUUAAAAGUAAAAAAAAUUUGAAAGAUGUUGGCGAACGAAAUGAAUCCUUAAAUAAGGUUGUACUCAAAGAUGUGUUUAAAGCGACGACUAAAGAAGAUGGUUAUGCGAUACUCAGAGUCACAAUUGUUGUGCCGUUUGUGAAGGGAAGCGAAAAACCUUAUAUCCAUAAGAAAGCGAAACUAAACGCAAUAUUGGCAUGCACCCUAUGUUAAAGGGUAUAAAACGAUUUUUUGAGUGACGCUGCUGUGCUUUGAAAGUCGCUAUUAACCAUACGCGAUUGCGAUUCCGCAAAAAAAAAAAGUCAAAAAUACAAACUUGAAUCCCAUGCCGCGUUUCCGAAACAUGUUGAAGAAAAUAAUAAUCCGAAACACAACACGGCAUUAAAUCUAAAAAUGGAGAUAUGUGAAUUUAAUGAUCAUGCUAAUAAAAUAAAUACUAAAUAUAAAAAA